This is a long non-coding RNA of Cotesia glomerata, 1425 nucleotides long. RefSeq lists it as uncharacterized. The transcript is spliced from 2 exons. NCBI's taxonomy places the organism in Eukaryota, Metazoa, Arthropoda, Insecta, Hymenoptera, Braconidae. The record is from RefSeq and is a predicted model, not a curated record.
AAUAGAAGAGCGUUGUAUAAACACACUUGCUAUUAUGACAUAAGUAUCAACACUUUUAUUUUUAUUUUUUUAAUCGUUACCGUCUACAUUAUUUCUCAUAAUAUAAUUCAUCGUAACUUAUUAUUUAUUACUCAUUACCAUUACUAAUAUAAUCAAUCACUGCUUGAGAUAUAUACAGUGAUAAUGUAGAUUAUUGUUGUUAUUGUUUUUUAACAAGUAUUUAAUUUUUUAUGGAGUGAACGCAUUUUUAUUUCAGGUCAAGGACGUGAAAAUAAAUGGGAUUUGGAAUUCCAAGUGGAUGUGCAGUCGGCAUCUCUAGACUCUGGCUGUAUUGCGAAUCGGAGAGCUCGAUGCUUGGACUAUUGCGCGCUUCAGAACCGGAAAUGGAUAAAUCGCUACCUACCCAGCGUACUUUAUUUUUUAUCUUUAUUCUUUUUCUUCGUUUCCACCUUGUGUGUGCUCUAACCAGAUUUUAAUUUUUUAGAUUAUUUUUUAUUUUAAAUACACGACUACGUAAUGCUCCAAAAAUAGUAUUAUGACUGCUUGUGUUGUAUCAACCAAUGUAACGUCUGUUGUCACCAUACAGAAUUAUUUACCUUUCCAAUUACCAUUUUAUCAUUAAACUAUUUAUUUUCUAUUUAAUUUAACUAUUAUUCUAUAUUCACACAAAAAUUUUAAUUAUUUUAUCGGGUUUGUAAGUUUAUUGCUUAAAUUAUACCGAAUAAAAAUUUCUCUUUUUCGUUUCCCCGAUUACCGCGUUGUUUUUUCCGUUAUAUAAUCACACAUAUAAUUAAAUUCAUUAUUUUUAAAUAUGUAUAUGUAUUAUUCUUGGAUUUAUGUUUCAUUGAUUGUAUAAAUACACAUCAUAUUGUUGGUGUUAAUCAUCUGAUACCAAAGAAGUAUAUAGAGGUUGAAGUAGAAGAAGAGGAUGAUAACAAAGAAGAAGAAGAAGAAGAAGAAGAGAAGGAGUCGGGUGGUACCAAAUGAUUUAUGUAUUAGCGCGCGAAGAAAACAAAACAAUAGGCUGAAUACCAUUAAAUCAAAGUGACACGCUGAAAGAAUAUAUAUUUAUAAAUAUUUGGUAACUUUAAAUUCAUCACACAGAAAGGCAACUCGUUAUUUAUAUUAAUAACUUAAAUAAAUUAAUAAUAAAUAAUAUUAAAGAUUGAAACACUCACAGCGCUUAAUAUUUUUGAACUGUAGAAUGUAAUUGUGAUUUAAGUCAGUGACGUCGGCGAUCCAGUUGUAUGAAAUGGAUAUUCAUGAUGUUGAUGAAAAUCAUGGUCCAGUUGGUGAAAAACAAGAUUCAUCAAGAGUACCCACCGAAAAAUAAAAUAUUAACAGGUUUUUUUUUUAUUUUAAAUACUAAUACAGACACGGAGACAUUUGUUUGCCAUGAAUAAAUAUAGUAAAAAUAAUAAAUGA